RNAcentral lists this ribosomal RNA (253 nucleotides) under uncultured bacterium. RNAcentral describes it as "partial 16S ribosomal RNA". It matches the Rfam family "Bacterial small subunit ribosomal RNA", at positions 524 to 776 of the family's 1533-position model. The record is from RNAcentral.
UACAGAGGGUGCAAGCGUUGUUCGGAAUUAUUGGGCGUAAAGGGCGCGUAGGCGGUUCGGCAAGUCUCUAGUGAAAUCUCAGGGCUCAACUCUGAGUCUGCUGGGGAAACUGCCGGGCUUGAGUGUGGGAGAGGAGAGUGGAAUUCCCGGUGUAGCGGUGAAAUGCGUAGAGAUCCGGAGGAACACCAGUGGCGCAGGCGGCUCUCUGGGUCGGCCCUGACGCUGAGGCGCGAAAGCGUGGGGAGCGAACGGG